GAAACUAUGUCCAUCGUGGCUGAGCGUUCUCCUAAAUCUAUCUUUGCCAAGAAGGACAUCAGGAAAGCCACUUCCAAAACAGAAAAGGGGAAGAUGUAAAAGAGACGCCCUGAGACAAGUUACGCCACCUAUGUUUACAAGAUCAUGCCUUCCUCCUGGCCCGCCCACCAAGCGCUCCAUCAUCUCGUCCAGUGAGAUCCAGGACUCUGUGUGCACGCUGCUGCUGGGGGAGAGUGACAAGCACACCGUGCCCGAGGCCAGCAAGGCCGUCAUCAGUUGGUUUCGAGACCAGAUGUGGAGAAGGGGUCUCUUAAAGACUCAAGCAUUUUUGGAGCAAGACCAUGGGAAUAGAUUGGGAGCCAGCAAGACACAGAAAGGGGAGAAGAGCUGUGGAUCUGUUUUUAGACGCACCCCUGAGGGCAGAGUGAAAGAUGUGCUCUGGAAGGGCCGCUUGCUACAAGAGCUUUGAAGGGACAGGGCCUGGGCUGUGCAGCCCGUUUAUCCUUCCAACCUCACUAAUCAGCUAAGGGUCCAGGUGUGGACGAGCAAACGGAGCGUUUCCGGGGGAAGGAUGUGCCUGCGCUUCCUAGUUGCCGUAGAAACGUGACGUCAUCGUAGCGACCGUGACGACUUUUUAAUAGAGACGGAGGGGCUCUGGCAAGAGCAGGUCUCACCUUCAGCUCUUCAUGCCAGUGGCCAAGCUCCUAUCAGGCGUCUGAAGGAGGCAGCUUCUGAGGAUCUGUGCCCUGCUGGCUGCUGAACCAUCUGCUCCACAUUGAAGGGCAGCCAUCCUCAGGAGACCCCAGCACUUCACAUCCCUGCUGGGAUAUGACUUCUGACUCGAUGGACCGUCAGAGGAGGGCGUGGACUCUGAGCCUCAGAAGCAGGAGCUGACAGAGAAGAACCAAGUGUGCUGGCGCGUGUGCAGACAGGUUCCUGGAGCAAGAGUGAGGAGAUCAGGGUCCCAUCACUGGGACACUUUAGGCCAAUUUGAUAAGACAUGGUGUGGACCUGUUAACACUACAAGAGCACAAUUAUGGGACUUUUUCACCUGAUUAGUUUAAUUGCAUCAGAGAAGUAUGAAUAUCUAUUCCGUCACAAUGAAUUCCUGGCAUCUUGAGUGGGCAGAGGAGAGGAAGAGAGCGUACACGUAUUCCAUGUGCCGUCUUAGCCCCUGACUCUCCUUCUAGUGGGCCAUCAGAGGAGGGUGUGGACUCUGAGCCUCAGAAGCAGGAGCUGACAGAGAAGAACCAAGUGUGCUGGCGCGUGUGCAGACAGGUUCCUGGAGCAAGAGUGAGGAGAUCAGGGUCCCAUCACUGGGACACUUUAGUGGGCCGUCAGAGGAGGGUGUGGACUCUGAGCCUCAGAAGCAGGAGCUGACAGAGAAGAACCAAGUGUGCUGGCGCGUGUGCAGACAGGUUCCUGGAGCAAGAGUGAGGAGAUCAGGGUCCCAUCACUGGGACACUUUAGUUUCUCGAGAAUAAUACUGUGCACCAUAGCUCAGAAAGAAGAGGCUUUGCAGAAGAAUGCUGUCACAGAACACUGGGACUCUGGCUGGAGAAACCAUGAUGUACGGAGGUUAAGUAACCUGGCUGGGGGUCAUCGUGCUACCAAGACGAAAAGCAGAGACUGCUGCCUUCUGUGUCCAAAUGCCAACUGCAUGAUGCUCAGCUGCGAGCCACCUCCAAUCAAGUAGACCUUGCUCUCCUUCUGAGCCGUGUCACUCCUACAAUCUGCGUCUUCACUUCUGAUUCCAAAAUGCUAGUCCUGCCUGUGUUUAUACAAGUCAGUGUACAUGAUUCAACCUCAGUUUCCUAUUCUGUAAAAACAAGGGUGUGUGGAAAGAACACAAGGAAGGUUUUGGAGAGGAUGGAUAUGUUUAGGACCUUGGUUAUGGUCAUUGUGUUACAGGUGCAUGUGUAGGUCCAAACCUAUGAAGAUUUAUACGUUAAAUUGUGUAAUUUUUUGUCUAUCAGUUAUACCUCAAUGAAACUAUAAAAUCCAAUCUCUCCAGGAGGUAAGGUGUGGCAGUCUGCCUAAAUCUGCUUCUGCACACUGAAGUUAAGGGCUCCCAUUUUGCAGCCGUCUGGUGCAGAGUCCUAAGAAGCUGCAUCCUCUCAGCCACGCAACACCACGGGGUCCGUCAUCUGCAUGAAGAGCUCUGCCCUGGGACAUAAACAUUACACUUGCCUGCUCAACAACCACCUCUUUGUCACAUCUCUAGAUCUUGAGUGUUGAAAUGAGUGUUCAAAUGGAGACAGACAGGUCUUUCUCCAGGAGGAAAGGAUUUCCUUCCCCCAGGACAGAAUUCAGUUGCUUGGGUAGAGACAAGGAUUAUAUUGCUGUGCGAUCAGGUACGUAAAAGCCCGAGUUGUAAAUGCCUCCACAGAGUCAGAGUCUGAUGAUGUGAAGGCUGUGCUUUAGGCAAUGAGCUUUCAAAUUAAGCACGCGUUUUUUCCUCAGGUCCUGUACUUUUGCUUCAUUGAAAAGGAUUUUGCAGAUAACAAUCAUUUUUUCUGGUCACUUCAAUAAACUCUGUCUUAUUUCUUUUUCUUUCUUUCUCAAGGGAUUUCCGUUUAUGGAAUAAAUCAUCUGAAAUUAUAAUGUCUCAAAUUCUGUCAUGGGUAAAUGGGUUGUCUAAAUGCAUUGUCUAAUAUACCACAGCUAGGCAACGUAAUGGUGGUGAAAUAUAAUGGUGGCAGUAGGGAACUCUUGCAGGUUCCUGACUCUUAAGUCAGAAUACUUUUACUGUACCACAGAAAUCGGAAUGGUGAACUUUUGGGGAUGCAUCCCUUCAGUAACAUAACACAACCGUCAUAGUAAAAGCAGACGUGAAUCCUUACUGCUAAAAGUGUUUGAGUUAAUAAAGAAAUGGGUGACGGGAGACAAGCUGUCUUGAUCAAAUAUUUCUAAAUAAUGUAUGUAGAUACCCUGCCUCCAUGAAGUGAACCUUAGUUCUGCCUCCACCGCUGAGGGCAGGGCAUACUCAGUGACUCCCUUCUAAAGAACUGAGUCUGGGGGUGGAGAACAGUUCCUGUACCCUGGAGAACCUCGACAAACACCUCAGCCCAGCCAUGAGGGUCAACGUGUCCAGUGAUCCAGCGAUGUCACAUGGGUCUCAUGUCCUCCCAGAUAUCAUGUGCUGAGAAGGGCACUUGAACUCUGUGCUAUUCUUUCUCAAAACCUGUAAGCACAGUCUAAUCAAGAGAAAAAUAGCAGACUGUGCCUGCACUCCUCAAGGCUGUCAGGGUCAUGAAAACAGUCUGGCAGUUCCUCAAACAGUUCAACAGAGACUUACCACAUGACCCAGCGAUUCCACUCCUAGGUACACAGCCAGGAGAAAUGACGACACAUGUAUACCUAAAAACUUGCUCACAAAUGUACGUGGCAUCAUUAUUCAUAAUAGCCAAAAGUGGAAACAAGCCAGAUGUCCACCAGUUAAGGAAUGGACAAAUAAAAUGUGGGAUAUAAUUUGGCAAUGAAAAGGAAUGAAGUACUGAAACAUGCAACAACACGGGUGAACCUUGAAAACGGUAUGUCAGGUGAAAGAAUCCAAAUAUGCAAAGACCACAUAUUGUAUUGAAGGGGAGCAGAAUAUGCCACCUCAAAAUGCGCCACUUUGGCAUGUGGAUUAUUUUGAGGUGAAGACAAUCAAGGCCCAGAAGACUCAGGAAGAGCUUUCUACCCCCACCUUAACUGCCUGAAAGAAUUUAGAUACAGGCCCUGGUCCAGGAAGAGAGUUGUCACCAGAGAUAACUACAAAGAAUAUGCACUAGGUGUGGUGAGCUGGGGGUUGGGGGGACUCAGCAGGGUCUGUUUGUCCACAUUCCUCUCUGUGUCCCACUGUCUCUGCACAGCAUGGCAAACAUGUGUUUACCAAACCUUCAUUCAACCAUCUUCCUAUGAAUUGUCUUCCUUUCCUUUGAAGCCCCAGAACCUUAUCCCCUUCUCCUUAGCCCAGAGUGGCACAUAAACCUCAAAUGCCUGACUGUCGAGGAGCCUCUCAUACAUAUGUGGGGCUCCCAUACAUACGAAACUAAAUUUCUUUUUCUCCUGUUAAUCUGUCUUAUGUCAGUUUAAUUAUUAGACCAGCCAAAAGAACCUAGAGGGGUAGAGAAAAAUUUUUUUCUCCCCUGCAGUGUGAUUCCACUUAGAUGAAAUGUCCAGAAUAGGCAAGUCCAUGGAGAGAAAGCUAAUCUGUGGUUCCCGGGGCUGGCAAUGGGUGUGGACUUUAACUGCAUUCAAGCACAAUGGGACUUUUUGGGGUGAUGGAAACGUCUAAAACUCGAUUAUGGUAAUGGUUGUACAACUCUAUGCAGUUACUGAAAAUCAUCAAAAUGUAUGCUUAAAAUGUGUGGAUUUUGUUCUCUCUAAAUUAUAUUGCAAGAAAGCAGUUAAAAAUGUGAUAUUGGCCUGGUCUUCUCUUGUACCACGGUAAUGACCAACCUUGUUCAUAGAAAGGCCUUGAUGCACAUGUUUUAUAUCAAUUAAUAUGGCUGCCUCCCAGGCUUGCUGAUGCUAUGUCCUGUGUUCCUCGAAGCAGUGACCUAUCUC
Molecule: long non-coding RNA, 4554 nt
Organism: Equus caballus (horse)
Lineage: Eukaryota; Metazoa; Chordata; Mammalia; Perissodactyla; Equidae
Source: Ensembl